UACGUAGGGCGCAAGCGUUAUCCGGAAUUAUUGGGCGUAAAGCGCGCGUAGGCGGAACGUUAAGUCCGGUCUGAAAGCCCCCGGCUCAACCGGGGAGGGUGGCUGGAAACUGGCGUUCUUGAGGGCGAGAGAGGAGGGUGGAAUUCCUGGUGUAGCGGUGAAAUGCGUAGAGAUCAGGAGGAACACCCGUGGCGAAGGCGGCCCUCUGGGCAUUACCUGACGCUGAGGAGCGAAAGUGUGGGGAGCGAACAGG
Molecule: ribosomal RNA, 253 nt
Filed under: uncultured bacterium
Lineage: Bacteria
Description: partial 16S ribosomal RNA
Rfam family: Bacterial small subunit ribosomal RNA
Source: RNAcentral